UUCUCGAAAAUUUGUAAACCCUAGAAUCAUCAGCUACAGCAAUCAAAUUACUUCCAAAAGGGGGAUACAAAAGCCUGAAAGAGUACUAUAAAGAUUACAUAUAUAUAUAUAUAUAUUCCUAUGAAGGAUGCAUGAUAGCAUAGAAGGUGGUGGUCGUAUGAUCAUUUGCUCGCCGCAGGCUCGCCAACAAAUUCCUAUUGCGUACCCUCGGAACUCAAGCUUAGGCUCGGCCUCGGGANAAGGAUGCAUGAUAGCAUAGAAGGUGGUGGUCGUAUGAUCAUUUGCUCGCCGCAGGCUCGCCAACAAAUUCCUAUUGCGUACCCUCGGAACUCAA
This 334-nucleotide long non-coding RNA is filed under the name Ananas comosus (pineapple). RNAcentral describes it as "long non-coding RNA (ACOM_LNC000135)". The record is from RNAcentral. Lineage: Eukaryota; Viridiplantae; Streptophyta; Magnoliopsida; Poales; Bromeliaceae.